GUGGGGAAUAUUGCACAAUGGGCGAAAGCCUGAUGCAGCAACGCCGCGUGAGCGAUGAAGGCCUUUGGGUCGUAAAGCUCUGUCCUUGGGGAAGAAAAAAAUGACGGUACCCUUGGAGGAAGCCCCGGCUAACUACGUGCCAGCAGCCGCGGUAAUACGUAGGGGGCAAGCGUUAUCCGGAAUUAUUGGGCGUAAAGAGUGCGUAGGUGGUUUUGUAAGCGCGGGGUGAAAGGCAAUAGCUCAACUAUUGUAAGCCCUGCGAACUGUAAGACUUGAGUGCAGGAGAGGAAAGUGGAAUUCCUAGUGUAGCGGUGAAAUGCGUAGAUAUUAGGAGGAACACCAGUGGCGAAGGCGACUUUCUGGACUGUAACUGACACUGAGGCACGAAAGCGUGGGGAGCAAACAGGAUUAGAUACCCCAGUAGUCC
RNAcentral lists this ribosomal RNA (427 nucleotides) under uncultured bacterium. RNAcentral describes it as "bacterial SSU rRNA". It matches the Rfam family "Bacterial small subunit ribosomal RNA", at positions 354 to 796 of the family's 1533-position model. The record is from RNAcentral.